Long non-coding RNA from Lolium rigidum, 189 nucleotides. RefSeq lists it as uncharacterized. Lineage: Eukaryota; Viridiplantae; Streptophyta; Magnoliopsida; Poales; Poaceae. The record is from RefSeq and is a predicted model, not a curated record. The transcript has 2 exons.
CUUAUCUUUCUGUCACUCUGCACACCAAGUCCCCUCUUCCUCCUCCCCGCCCCACUCCACACCGAUGUUCCGCGCUGCCGUCUGAGGGGAGCCAGGAGACCGAGGAGAUUUUCGCCUUUUUUUCACGAGGGAGGUGCUGCGGCUGCUGGGAGGAAACAAUCUCGUGAGGCAACAACAGGCGUAAAGCAA